This is a long non-coding RNA of Lates calcarifer (barramundi perch), 567 nucleotides long. RefSeq lists it as uncharacterized. The transcript has 5 exons. The record is from RefSeq and is a predicted model, not a curated record. NCBI's taxonomy places the organism in Eukaryota, Metazoa, Chordata, Actinopteri, Centropomidae.
CAGGUGUUCAAAAUGUGAUAAAAAUGUCAUACUAUAGUCAGGUGUUCAAAAUGUGAUAAAAAUGUCAUACUAUAGUAAGGUGUUGAAAAUGUGAUAAAAAUGUCAUACUAUAGUAAGGCACUGAAAAUGUGAUAAAAAUGUCAUACUAUAGUAAGGUGUUCAAAAUGUGAUAAAAAUGUCAUACUAUAGUCAGGUGUUCAAAAUGUGAUAAAAAUGUCAUACUAUAGUAAGGCACUGAAAAUGUGAUAAAAAUGUCAUACUAUAGUCAGGUGUUCAAAAUAUGAUAAAAAUGUCAUACUAUAGUCAGGUGUUCAAAAUGUGAUAAAAAUGUCAUACUAUAGUCAGGUGUUCAAAAUGUGAUAAAAAUGUCAUACUAUAGUAAGGUGUUCAAAAACUGAUAAAAAUGUCAUACUAUAGUCAGGUGUUCAAAAUGUGAUAAAAAUGUCAUACUAUAGUCAGGUGUUGGAAAUAUGAUAAAAGUGUCAUACUAUAGUCAGGUGUUGAAAAUGUGAUAAAAAUGUCAUACUAUAGUCAGGUGUUCAAAAUGUGAUAAAAAUGUCAUACUAU